RNAcentral lists this ribosomal RNA (301 nucleotides) under uncultured bacterium. RNAcentral describes it as "partial 16S ribosomal RNA". It matches the Rfam family "Bacterial small subunit ribosomal RNA", at positions 509 to 808 of the family's 1533-position model. The record is from RNAcentral.
CAGUCGCCACGGGAAAACGUAGGUGGCAAGCGUUGUCCGGAAUUAUUGGGCGUAAAGCGCGCGCAGGCGGAUAGGUCAGUCUGUCUUAAAAGUUCGGGGCUUAACCCCGUGAUGGGAUGGAAACUGCCAAUCUAGAGUAUCGGAGAGGAAAGUGGAAUUCCUAGUGUAGCGGUGAAAUGCGUAGAUAUUAGGAAGAACACCAAUGGCGAAGGCGACUUUCUGGACGAAAACUGACGCUGAGGCGCGAAAGCGUGGGGAGCAAACAGGAUUAGAUACCCGGGUAGUCCCUGUCUCUUAUACA